AGAGUUUGAUCCUGGCUCAGAUUGAACGCUGGCGGCAUGCUUUACACAUGCAAGUCGAACGGCAGCACGGGUGCUUGCACCUGGUGGCGAGUGGCGAACGGGUGAGUAAUGCACCGGAACGUACCCAGUAAUGGGGGAUAACACAUCGAAAGAUGUGCUAAUACCGCAUACGCCCUGAGGGGGAAAGCGGGGGAUCGUAAGACCUCGCGUUAUUGGAGCGGCCGAUGCCGGAUUAGCUAGUUGGUGAGGUAAGAGCUCACCAAGGCGACGAUCCGUAGCUGGUCUGAGAGGACGACCAGCCACACUGGGACUGAGACACGGCCCAGACUCCUACGGGAGGCAGCAGUGGGGAAUUUUGGACAAUGGGCGCAGGCCUGAUCCAGCCAUGCCGCGUGAGUGAAGAAGGCCUUCGGGUUGUAAAGCUCUUUCGCAAGGAAAGAAAACUUAUCU
Molecule: ribosomal RNA, 450 nt
Filed under: uncultured bacterium
Lineage: Bacteria
Description: bacterial SSU rRNA
Rfam family: Bacterial small subunit ribosomal RNA
Source: RNAcentral